RNAcentral lists this long non-coding RNA (231 nucleotides) under Mytilus galloprovincialis (Mediterranean mussel). The record is from RNAcentral. Lineage: Eukaryota; Metazoa; Mollusca; Bivalvia; Mytilida; Mytilidae.
UAUUGUCCUUUUUGUAUCGUUUCUGUCUUAACAGCAGUCAGUUUAACGAAACAUCUAUAUGGAAUUUUAACCAAAAAAAAACCCCAAAAAAAUCUUAAUUGAGGCGACUAAGAGCUUACAUGAUAUAUACGUAUUUCUUGUUGAAGUGCUUGCGUGUCUUUUGUUGUUUUCCAGUGGUGGUGGAUUUCUCAGUCUCUGACGUAUAACGUACAACCCCAAAUAUGGCCGAUA